RNAcentral lists this ribosomal RNA (111 nucleotides) under uncultured bacterium. RNAcentral's name for it is "partial 16S ribosomal RNA". It matches the Rfam family "Bacterial small subunit ribosomal RNA", at positions 1373 to 1482 of the family's 1533-position model. The record is from RNAcentral.
CCCGGGCCUUGUACACACCGCCCGUCACGUCAUGAACGUCGGCAACACCCGAAGCCGGUGGCCUAACCCUUGUGGAGGGAGCCGUCGAAGGUGGGGCUGGCGAUUAGGACG